Molecule: microRNA precursor, 168 nt
Filed under: Pelobates cultripes (western spadefoot toad)
Lineage: Eukaryota; Metazoa; Chordata; Amphibia; Anura; Pelobatidae
Source: RNAcentral
GCAGACACAUUCCAGCCAAUCAACAGCAGACCCUCCCUCCCAGACCCUCCCACCUCCUGGACAGCAUCCAUUUUACAUUCAUUGUGAAGCUGCAUUUUUAAUGAGCUGUCCAGGAGGUGGGAGGGUCUGGGAGGGAGGGUCUGCUGUUGAUUGGCUGGAAUGUGUCUG